GCAUUUUUGGCCGAGUGGUUAAGGCGUAACGUUAAGGCCGUUAUGGGACUUAUCCCGCGUGGGUUCGAGCCCCACAGAAUGCA
Molecule: non-coding RNA, 83 nt
Organism: Spironucleus salmonicida
Lineage: Eukaryota; Fornicata; Diplomonadida; Hexamitidae
Source: Rfam